UGGGGAAUUUUGGACAAUGGGCGCAAGCCUGAUCCAGCCAUGCCGCGUGCGGGAAGAAGGCCUUCGGGUUGUAAACCGCUUUUGUCAGGGAAGAAAUCUUCUGAGUUAAUACCUCGGGAGGAUGACGGUACCUGAAGAAUAAGCACCGGCUAACUACGUGCCAGCAGCCGCGGUAAUACGUAGGGUGCAAGCGUUAAUCGGAAUUACUGGGCGUAAAGCGUGCGCAGGCGGUUUUGUAAGACAGAGGUGAAAUCCCCGGGCUCAACCUGGGAACUGCCUUUGUGACUGCAAGGCUUGAGUGCGGCAGAGGGGGGAUGGAAUUCCGCGUGUAGCAGUGAAAUGCGUAGAUAUGCGGAGGAACACCGAUGGCGAAGGCAAUCCCCUGGGCCUGCACUGACGCUCAUGCACGAAAGCGUGGGGAGCAAACAGGAUUAGAUAGCCCUGGUAGUCCACGCCCUAAACGAUGUCAACUGGUUGUUGGGAAGGUUCCUCCUCAGUAACGUAGCUAACGCGUGAAGUUGA
This 522-nucleotide ribosomal RNA is filed under the name uncultured bacterium. RNAcentral describes it as "partial 16S ribosomal RNA". It matches the Rfam family "Bacterial small subunit ribosomal RNA", at positions 355 to 868 of the family's 1533-position model. The record is from RNAcentral.